RNAcentral lists this ribosomal RNA (495 nucleotides) under uncultured organism. RNAcentral's name for it is "SSU rRNA". It matches the Rfam family "Bacterial small subunit ribosomal RNA", at positions 8 to 509 of the family's 1533-position model. The record is from RNAcentral.
AGAGUUUGAUCCUGGCUCAGGACAACGCUGGCGGCGUGCCUAAUACAUGCAAGUCGAACGGUAACAGCAAUGUUAUAGUGGCGAACGGGUGAGUAACACGUUGGUGACCUGCCCCAAAGAUGGGAAUAUCACCUGGAAACGGGUGGCAAAACCGAAUAAGCUUAUCUGAAUUAGAAAAGGAUAAGUAAAAGCGCAAGCUACUUUGGGAGGGGCCUGCGGCCCAUCAGUUAGUUGGUGAGGGUAACGGCCCACCAAGACGAAGACGGGUAGGGGACCUGAGAGGGUGGUCCCCCACAAUGGAACUGAAACACGGUCCAGACUCCUACGGGAGGCAGCAGUGAGGAAUAUUGGACAAUGGCCGGAAGGCUGAUCCAGCCAUGCCGCGUGCGGGAAGACGGCCCUAUGGGUUGUAAACCGCUUUUGUUGGGGAGCAAUAAGGUCCACGUGUGGAUUGAUGAGAGUACCCAGCGAAUAAGCAUCGGCUAACUCCGUGCC